GCCCUGGUAGUUUAGUGGUUAAGAUUUGGCGCUCUCACUGCCUAGGCCCAGGAUUCACUUCCUGGUCAGGGAA
Molecule: transfer RNA, 73 nt
Filed under: Equus caballus (horse)
Lineage: Eukaryota; Metazoa; Chordata; Mammalia; Perissodactyla; Equidae
Rfam family: tRNA
About the family: Transfer RNA (tRNA) molecules are approximately 80 nucleotides in length. Their secondary structure includes four short double-helical elements and three loops (D, anti-codon, and T loops).
Source: Rfam by way of RNAcentral